AAUCUUCCGCAAUGGAUGAAAGUCUGACGGAGCCACGCCGCGUGAGCGAAGAAUGCCUUCGGGUCGUACAUCUCUGUUGUUAGGGAAGAACAAGUACGAGAGUAACUGCUCGUACCUUGACUGUACCUAACCAGAAAGUCACGGCUAACUACGUGCCAGCAACCGCGGUAAUACGUAGGUGGCAAGCGUUGUCCGGAAUUAUUGGGCGUAAAGCGCGCGCAGGCGGUCCUUUAAGUCUGAUGUGAAAGCCCACGGCUCAACCGUGGAGGGUCAUUGGAAACUGGGGGACUUGAGUGCAGAAGAGGAGAGUGGAAUUCCACGUGUAGCGGUGAAAUGCGUAGAGAUGUGGAGGAACACCAGUGGCGAAGGCGACUCUCUGGUCUGUAACUGACGCUGAGGCGCGAAAGCGUGGGGAGCAAACAGG
Molecule: ribosomal RNA, 424 nt
Filed under: uncultured bacterium
Lineage: Bacteria
Description: partial 16S ribosomal RNA
Rfam family: Bacterial small subunit ribosomal RNA
Source: RNAcentral